RNAcentral lists this ribosomal RNA (548 nucleotides) under uncultured bacterium. Its description in RNAcentral is "partial 16S ribosomal RNA". It matches the Rfam family "Bacterial small subunit ribosomal RNA", at positions 355 to 895 of the family's 1533-position model. The record is from RNAcentral.
UGGGGAAUUUUGGACAAUGGGCGCAAGCCUGAUCCAGCCAUGCCGCGUGCGGGAAGAAGGCCUUCGGGUUGUAAACCGCUUUUGUCAGGGAAGAAAUCUUCUGAGUUAAUACCUCGGGAGGAUGACGGUACCUGAAGAAUAAGCACCGGCUAACUACGUGCCAGCAGCCGCGGUAAUACGUAGGGUGCAAGCGUUAAUCGGAAUUACUGGGCGUAAAGCGUGCGCAGGCGGUUUUGUAAGACAGAGGUGAAAUCCCCGGGCUCAACCUGGGAACUGCCUUUGUGACUGCAAGGCUUGAGUGCGGCAGAGGGGGAUGGAAUUCCGCGUGUAGCAGUGAAAUGCGUAGAUAUGCGGAGGAACACCGAUGGCGAAGGCAAUCCCCUGGGCCUGCACUGACGCUCAUGCACGAAAGCGUGGGGAGCAAAACAGGAUUAGAUACCCUGGUAGUCCACGCCCUAAACGAUGUCAACUGGUUGUUGGGAAGGUUCCUUCUCAGUAACGUAGCUAACGCGUGAAGUUGACCGCCUGGGGAGUACGGCCGCAAGGUU